Molecule: ribosomal RNA, 388 nt
Filed under: uncultured bacterium
Lineage: Bacteria
Description: bacterial SSU rRNA
Rfam family: Bacterial small subunit ribosomal RNA
Source: RNAcentral
GAUUAACGCUGGCGGCGUGCCUAACACAUGCAAGUCGAACGAGGUAGCAAUACCUAGUGGCAGACGGGUGAGUAACGCGUGGUCAACCUACCGUUGAGUGGGGAGUAACUAGCCGAAGGUUAGCUAAUACCGCAUACGUCUCCGAGUGGCAUCACUUGGCGAUAAAAGGAAGCAAUCCGCUCGAUGACGGGACCGCGUCCCAUUAGCUAGAUGGUGGGGUAACGGCCUACCAUGGCACCGAUGGGUAGCUGGUUUGAGAGAGCGACCAGCCACACUGGGACUGAGAAACGGCCCAGACUCCUACGGGAGGCAGCAGUGAGGAAUUUUCCGCAAUGGGCGCAAGCCUGACGGAGCGACGCCGCGUGUGGGAAGAAGGCCUCGGUCGUAA